UACGUAGGGUGCAAGCGUUAUCCGGAUUUAUUGGGCGUAAAGCGAGCGCAGGUGGUUUAUUAAGUCUGGUGUAAAAGGCAGUGGCUCAACCAUUGUAUGCAUUGGAAACUGGUAGACUUGAGUGCAGGAGAGGAGAGUGGAAUUCCAUGUGUAGCGGUGAAAUGCGUAGAUAUAUGGAGGAACACCGGUGGCGAAAGCGGCUCUCUGGCCUGUAACUGACACUGAGGCUCGAAAGCGUGGGGAGCAAACAGG
This 252-nucleotide ribosomal RNA is filed under the name uncultured bacterium. RNAcentral describes it as "partial 16S ribosomal RNA". It matches the Rfam family "Bacterial small subunit ribosomal RNA", at positions 524 to 776 of the family's 1533-position model. The record is from RNAcentral.